CAACAAACACCAGUGCAGAUGAAAUAGUGACAUUGAGUCUGUCUGGAACAACCGCGCACACAGUUGUUAGUGAUGUUGUUGUUUCUGUAGCUACGUGCAGUGGCUGAGGAAGAAGAAGUGCAUCCCAGGCAGCUCUCUGCAUGCUUUAAAGACCUACAUACUGGGCCGGGACCAGGAGAAGAACCAGCAUCCCUCCCAGCAGCCCCAGUGCCCACCAUCUGACGGUGUUGUGCUCCCAGUUGCUGUUCCUGCUGCCUCCACGCGUGUCUCUGAAAAGCUGAUUUCUUUGUCUUCUCUGUGUGAAACAGCUGCUAACGAGCCCUCAGACGAGAUGCUCCCUGGCUGCUGCCUUAGAGGUGGAGAGUCAGCAAGCCUUCUAUGGAUUAAUGGUGUAAAACUGUAUGUAAGUUAUAAGGUGACUACGAGGUAAGGUUGAUGUUUACUGGACCCUGUAGAGAUCAGCUGUAGGCCUAACAACCUAACCUUGGUAGAUACUCACGCUUCGCUGUCCGUCUGUAUGUCAUCACAUUAUGGUAUGGUGAUUGUUGUUGUCCGUCAGUAGUUUAACUGGCAUAGUAAAGUUUGUUCUGUGCACAGAACACAGACAUCAGACAGAUUCAACGACACGUGUUGUGGAAUCUCUCUCAUGUCUGAGUAUUUGCAUGACUUUGAUUACUUUUAGUUAUUUUUGCAGAGGUCCCAUCUUCAGCCUCCACUCCUGUGCCCGUUGAUGACCUGGACCUGUCUUCCAGUGGUGACAGCAGCGUCGCCGUGCGGCCCAGGACCAGAGCUGCAGCCGCAGCUGAGGGCUGUCCUAAACCCUCGCGGCCAAUUAGUGGCUCAGAGGUGAGACACCCCCCUCCCUCCCUCUGCAGGGCAGCUCCCCCCACUGUGCU
This 896-nucleotide long non-coding RNA is filed under the name Betta splendens (Siamese fighting fish). RNAcentral describes it as "lncRNA (ENSBSLG00000017072.1)". The record is from RNAcentral. Lineage: Eukaryota; Metazoa; Chordata; Actinopteri; Anabantiformes; Osphronemidae.